Setaria italica (foxtail millet) is the source of this 1885-nucleotide long non-coding RNA. RefSeq lists it as uncharacterized. The transcript is spliced from 2 exons. NCBI's taxonomy places the organism in Eukaryota, Viridiplantae, Streptophyta, Magnoliopsida, Poales, Poaceae. The record is from RefSeq and is a predicted model, not a curated record.
CGCACUGGGCGCCCGCGGCGCAACUCUGUACGAUUAUCGAUGCCAUUAGCUUGUGUGCCUUCGCAUCCACGUAGAUGCGAUGUUUGUUGGGUCAUAAACUCAUUCGUCGUCUGCAAGCUUGCAGUUACUCUGAUACAUCAUGAAUUUGUGAUGGCAAUAAAUACGUGGCGUUUUGGUUUUGUGGGUUAUGUUCUGUUUGCCUUUGCGUUCCGUGGUCUGUGUGAUUGUGCUAUCGUUGGACCUCUUGAGUAUCACAACUAGCAUACAAGAUGCAUGAUAAUAAGAGAUGUCUUGCUACUUGUAAGCAUCUGUCUACUAGCUUGUUGAAACUGGAAAGUUGAUUAUGCUGUUGUGCUGUCUAUUUUUUUUUCACGGUACUGUCAACCCCAUUCGUAAAUGAAUGCUGUGAGUAGAGCUGCUUAAAUAGCUUAUGCUUGUUAACGUCUGGCCGGCCGCACCGUGAGAGCCCCGUCCUCGCGACACAAAGGCAAGGUGCAUGACUGCCCCUCCAAGCACAGGUACGUACCUUCGUCCUUAUCAAUCAAAAUUGGAAGCACGCGGCGACCGCGUUUCAUUUGAUCUCCCAGGACGGAGUUCGUCGAUCUGAUCGGAGCAGCGACAGGCAACGGCGUCUGCGUGGCGACUGCCACCGGUGUGUUGGAGCCGCGCUGACUUGAGUUUCCCAUCUAUCUGCGCACGAUCAACAGGACCGUGUCAGAAGAGCCAAUCUCCACGACAUAAGGGCGAGGUGCACGAGCAAUGCCGUGAGUGGCUGAUGCAAUUCUAGAAAGAGAUUGGUGUCCUGGAUGCUGUUCGGCUCUUGAGUUCUUUAUGCAUAUCAAAACAUCUGUCUAGAUGUUGUUCGGCUCUAUGAAUGGUAUUUGUAACCUCUGAAUUUCCAUUCAUUCAAGGUUGAAGGUUGCAAUGAUGGUAGCUUAGAAGAGGUAAAAGACCCUUAGCACUGCUUAAAUAUUCCUUGGUAGUAAGUUAAUAUCGUUGCUGGCAAACACCCUAUACACUUCUGAUCAUGCUGGACCAAUUGUUGAACUGGGUCCGAUGUCAGAGUGGCAAUUGAUCAAGAAAGAUGGCAUUUUGCGGUUCUUUUCUGAUUUAGAACUGAUCAAGGGACAUGUACUCCGAUUGCACUGAAGUGGUUGAACUUCAGUUUCUCCGAUGUCAGAGUGGCAAUUGAUCAAGAAAGAUGGCAUUUUGCGGUUCUUUUCUGAUUUAGAACUGAUCAAGGGACAUGUACUCCGAUUGCACUGAAGUGGUUGAACUUCAGUUUCUCUGAUGUUUCAACUUUCAAUAUGGUAUCUGUAGCUGAAUCUUUUUUUUUAGUUUCUGAAAUUCUGAAACCAGGAUGUACUUGAUCAAUACUAGCUAUUCUGGAAUUCUGAAAACACUAUUGUCGAAUAACUAGCUAUUCUUCAGGUCAAGAAGGAAUUGGAGGGUUUGAGACAGCCCGUAGAGUAGCCUAAACAUAUCCUAGCUUCUUGAACAAGUCUCUUGCUUCUUGAACAAAUGUUUCUCCAGGUGGCCUGCGAAUGGAGGGAGUAUUCUGUUACAGCAUGUGUGGCUGUUUUAUGAAGGUCUCAAGACACAUCAACAUCAAAGUGGAGAACAAGAUGGUAAGGACAGGUUGCACAGGGAGCUUGAUGGCAUUCAGGUUGAGCUGCAAGCCUCUGAAGAAGCUACCAAGAUGUUACUACCUUUGUCAACUGAGCUAGUAGCUGAUCAAAAGCUUUGUCUGAAAGUUCCAGUAUUCUGUUCGGAUUCUUUGGGGGUAUGAGCCAUAAUGACGUGCCUGUAACUAACUAUUAUCAUUUCAGAAGGGCCAUCCUUCAGCUAAUAUUUGGCCUAGUUCGUUUUGGAACUAAUUCAUUGA